AAUCAUUUAAAGAUACAGGCUUGUUUUCACAUCCUUAUUCCUUUUAAUGCAAAUGGUAAACUCUGUAUUUUUACUUAGGGACAGUUUCUCCUACUAAGAACCAUCCGGCUUUCAAGCUUCUUUGCUGUAUUAAUUUGAGCUGGCUAAGGUGUGCUGAAUGUGCAGAUUUCUUUCAAUGUAAUUAGCCCAAUGCUUUCUUUUUGCUGACGCACCCAGGCUCUUCCAUUGCCACCGCAUACUGUGUGCUCACAGCUGUACCAUUUUUUCUCAGGGGGAUUCUCCCAAAGUACUAGAUUUUCCUGCUGAGUCAGCCCAAAUGCCUCUGGCCACGGCCUAUGGAGAGAAAAACCUCAAGACAUCCACUGAAUGGAAGUCCCAGGUGCAAAAGUCAGAACUUUUGUAUAUAAUUUUCUGAUAUAUUAAACAGGCUUCAUAUCAAUUCCAGGCUCCCAUGGAAGGCUUACAUUUUAUCUGUCAUACUGUAGUUAUAAACCAAUGAGAAAUGUCCAACAGCUUAUAUAUUUUGGCUAAGGCAAAUAUAUUAACUAAAAAUGUACUACACCAAAA
Long non-coding RNA from Neopsephotus bourkii (Bourke's parrot), 567 nucleotides. RefSeq lists it as uncharacterized. The record is from RefSeq and is a predicted model, not a curated record. NCBI's taxonomy places the organism in Eukaryota, Metazoa, Chordata, Aves, Psittaciformes, Psittacidae. The transcript has 3 exons.